This 389-nucleotide ribosomal RNA is filed under the name Amphidinium sp. RNAcentral's name for it is "partial small subunit ribosomal RNA". It matches the Rfam family "Eukaryotic small subunit ribosomal RNA", at positions 582 to 975 of the family's 1831-position model. The record is from RNAcentral. Lineage: Eukaryota; Dinophyceae; Amphidiniales; Amphidiniaceae.
AUUCCAGCUCCAAUAGCGUAUAUUAAAGUUGUUGCGGUUAAAAAGCUCGUAGUUGGAUUUCUGCCGAGGACGACCGGUCCGCCCUCUGGGUGAGCAUCUGGCUCGACCUGGGCAUCUUCUUGGAGAACGUAGCUGCACUUGAUUGUGUGGUGCGGUAUCCAGGACUUUUACUUUGAGGAAAUUAGAGUGUUUCAAGCAGGCACACGCCUUGAAUACAUUAGCAUGGAAUAAUAAGAUAGGACCUCGGUUCUAUUUUGUUGGUUUCUAGAGCUGAGGUAAUGAUUAAUAGGGAUAGUUGGGGGCAUUCGUAUUUAACUGUCAGAGGUGAAAUUCUUGGAUUUUGGAAAGAUGAACUACUGCGAAGGCAUUUACCAAGGAUGUUUUCAUUA